CAGUAGCCGCGGUAAUACGAAGGGGGCUAGCGUUGUUCGGAAUUACUGGGCGUAAAGCGCACGCAGGCGGCUCGAUAAAUUAGAAGUGAAAGCCUUGGGCUUAACCUGAGAAUUGCUUUUAAGACUGUCGAGCUAGAAUCCAGAAGAGGGUAGUGGAAUUCCGAGUGUAGAGGUGAAAUUCGUAGAUAUUCGGAAGAACACCAGUGGCGAAGGCGACUACCUGGUCUGGCAUUGACGCUCAUGUGCGAAAGCGUGGGGAGCAAACAGGAUUAGAUACCCGAGUAGUCCCUGUCUCUUAUAA
This 301-nucleotide ribosomal RNA is filed under the name uncultured bacterium. RNAcentral describes it as "partial 16S ribosomal RNA". It matches the Rfam family "Bacterial small subunit ribosomal RNA", at positions 509 to 809 of the family's 1533-position model. The record is from RNAcentral.